AGUGAACGCUGGCGGCAGGCCUAACACAUGCAAGUCGAGCGGCAGCGCGGGGGCAACCCUGGCUGCGAGCGGCGGACGGGUGAGGAAUUCGUCGGAAUCUGCCUUUUUGUGGGGGAUAACGUAGGGAAACUUACGCUAAUACCGCAUACGUCCUACGGGAGAACGUGGGGGACCGCAAGGCCUCACGCAGAUAGAUGAUCCGACGACCGAUUAGCUAGUUGGUGGGGUAACGGCCCACCAAGGCGACGAUCGGUAGCUGGUCUGAGAGGAUGAUCAGCCACACUGGGACUGAGACACGGCCCAGACUCCUACGGGAGGCAGCAGUGGGGAAUAUUGGACAAUGGGCGCAAGCCUGAUCCAGCCAUGCCGCGUGUGUGAAGAAGGCCUUCGGGUUGUAAAGCACUUUUGUCCGGAAAGAAAUCCAUGGAGCUAAUACCUUCGGGGGAUGACGGUACCGGAAGAAUAAGCACCGGCUAACUUCGUG
This 484-nucleotide ribosomal RNA is filed under the name uncultured bacterium. RNAcentral describes it as "partial 16S ribosomal RNA". It matches the Rfam family "Bacterial small subunit ribosomal RNA", at positions 29 to 507 of the family's 1533-position model. The record is from RNAcentral.